This 405-nucleotide ribosomal RNA is filed under the name bacterium. RNAcentral describes it as "bacterial SSU rRNA". It matches the Rfam family "Bacterial small subunit ribosomal RNA", at positions 354 to 776 of the family's 1533-position model. The record is from RNAcentral. RNAcentral also lists the same sequence under 1 other name.
GUGGGGAAUAUUGGACAAUGGGCGAAAGCCUGAUCCAGCAAUGCCGCGUGUGUGAAGAAGGUCUUCGGAUUGUAAAGCACUUUCGACGGGGACGAUGAUGACGGUACCCGUAGAAGAAGCCCCGGCUAACUUCGUGCCAGCAGCCGCGGUAAUACGAAGGGGGCUAGCGUUGCUCGGAAUGACUGGGCGUAAAGGGCGCGUAGGCGGUUGAUGCAGUCAGAUGUGAAAUCCCCGGGCUUAACCUGGGAACUGCAUUUGAGACGCAUUGACUAGAGUUCGAGAGAGGGUUGUGGAAUUCCCAGUGUAGAGGUGAAAUUCGUAGAUAUUGGGAAGAACACCGGUGGCGAAGGCGGCAACCUGGCUCGAUACUGACGCUGAGGCGCGAAAGCGUGGGGAGCAAACAGG